Non-coding RNA from Dermacentor albipictus, 1954 nucleotides. Lineage: Eukaryota; Metazoa; Arthropoda; Arachnida; Ixodida; Ixodidae. The record is from RefSeq and is a predicted model, not a curated record.
UUUAAUUUAUGGACUUGUUCCCACAUUUUUUUGGAUGUGGUUGAGCUGUUAAUAGAUGAUAUGUAGUUCUUCCAGGAAGUUUUCUCAGCGUCUCGACGGAUGCGGCGUGCGUUUGCUUUCGCUUUUUUAAAAUUUACAAGAUUAUCAUAGGUUGGGUAUCUACGGAAUAUGCCCCACGCUUUGUUUUGUUUCUUUUUUGCUUGCUUACAUUCUUGCGUGUACCAGAUUUUAUGAUUACGUCGAACCACUCCUGAGGACUGAGGAAUAGCUAGCCGCGCGGCAUUAAUAAUACAGGUUGUGAAUAAUUCGUUUUGAUCGUCGACAUUUAAAUUCUUUGAAAAAACUUUUUCCAGGCUGGCCAGUUCUUGAAACAGUGCCCAGUUUGCUAAGUGUAGCUUCCAACGACGUGGUUUGCUUGGGAUGAUUUGUGGUGGGGAUGAUAAGUUAAUUUUUACAGGAAGGUGAUCACUUCCAUAGGGGUUGUCAACGACAUCCCAUUUAAAAUCUGUAAAAAGUGAUGGAGAGCACAGUGACAGAUCUAGGCAACUCAUAGCUCCUGUGCUUGGGCAACAGUAAGUUGCCGCACCAGAGUUUAAUAGGCAUAUGUCGUUGGUUAGAAUAAAAUCUUCAAGUGUUUGGCCCCUGGUGUCAGUAGUUUUACUACCCCAUAACGUGCUAUGUGAAUUAAAAUCACCACCUAUUAAAAAUGGUUCAGGUAGCUGCUCUAAAAUUAUCUCUAGGUCUCUUACGGUAAAAUGUGAAUGUGGCGGAAUGUACAUUGAACAAAUGGUGAUGGUUUUGUGAGCUAAAACGGUGACAGCAACGGCUUCUAUGUGAGUGUUAAUGGGAAUUUCUCUGGCUGGUAUACCAACUGGCAGAACAAUGGCUACACCACCUGACAGCCGGUUCGUCUGAUUACGGUCGCGCCGUACAACAGUGAAACCUUUCAAAAAGUUCUUGUGUUUUUCGCCUAGGUUGGUUUCCUGUAAGCACAGGGCCACAGGAGAGAAGUUUAUUAAAAGGUCUUUUAUGUCACCUAAGUUAUGAAUGAGACCUCUACAAUUCCAAUGGAUCAUGAAAGCCAUUAUGAAAUUGAAAGGCAAAAAUUGAUAUUAACGAGUGAAUGGGAGAUAAGAAAGAUGUUAGGUGACAUGGAUCUGAAGAAGGCAGAUACAAACAGAGCGAUAACCCUUAGGUUAUCGCCUUCUUAUUUUGAGUUGUUAUUGGGAUUUUAUCCCUCUUACCGCGCUCGAGGGAGCGCUUGUCCUUCGGUGUCGAGGACACCGGGGUUUUUGUUUCGACCUCCAUUGCUCUCUCUGAGGCGCUGGAGGACCGAGAGUUUGGCGCCGAGACACGUGUCUCGGGCCUUGGAGUUCGCUUGAUCUUAGGACCCUGCGGGACUGGUGUCUGCAGGGCCGUUGAAGAGGGCGGAGCAGUACUGACUGCUUCCACCACGGGGGCGGGAGGAGUCACUGCGGCACCACUGCGCGUGGGCUCGGAGGACUCCGGAAGCCUCUGUGACGCUGCCCCCGCCUGCGUCACAUCGGCAUAACUGCGUCGCGGAAGCAUGGGCAAGACCGCGAGUAGGCUGGAUGGUCUCCUUUGCAGUUAGUACAAUGUGGGGAAGAAGUGCAGUUUUCAGAUUGAUGAUCAGUUGAGCUGCAUUUAGCACAGGUUGUUUGGCCUCGGCAUGCAUGUGAAGCAUGUCCGAACCUUUGACACUUGAAACACCGUCUUGGGUUCGGGAUAUAUGGUCUGACGUUUACUUUCACGUACCCUGCAUCCAGAGAGGUAGGCAUUACGCUUGUACCAAAUGUAAGUAUGACAUGUUUGGUGGGGAUUUCUUGGUCGUUUCUACGGAUUACUAUUCUUUGCACCUUUGUCACAUUUUGUUCCUGGAAACCUUCCAGCAGUUCCUCGUCACUUAAGCCAAUAAAGUCUUCUUCAGAUAUUA